Columba livia (rock pigeon) is the source of this 3234-nucleotide long non-coding RNA. RefSeq lists it as uncharacterized. The transcript is spliced from 2 exons. The record is from RefSeq and is a predicted model, not a curated record. Lineage: Eukaryota; Metazoa; Chordata; Aves; Columbiformes; Columbidae.
AAAUCCCCUCUGGAAAAUGGAGGGGCUGGCAUCGGGUUGCCCGCCCGUACCGAUCCGGAGGAAAGAGAAGUUAUUUACAUGUCACGGCCCCAGCGCCGUGAGGAGACACCGCCUGCUCAGCACUCCCCGCGAUCAGCCAUGUUCCUCUCCCGGACCCGCCGCUCGGCUACUCUACACUUCUCCAAAACCCAGCUGGAACGGAGGAGCCCAAAAGCGAGCUUGACAAAUGUCCAUCCUCAAACGGCUCUUUCCUAAUCCUUCACAUGGUUCCUGCCAAUUUUCUUUCUCUUCUACGGAGAGGAAAACAAAUCAAGAAAACAUUAUACAGCUAUCACUUAACUUGUAUUGAUAGAUACUUGCAAACCAGCCUGCCAGGGUAAGUAGUAACGCAACUACCUUUAUUCAGCUUCUCUUCGAAGCCCUCAAACAGCUGCUGUGUGAUGCUGUGCUUGUCAAUCUGUUAUGUUUCCUUAAAAUUUGUUUAAAUAUCAGACAUCUGCAAGACAGAGGUGGACAAAUUGACAACAAUCAUCUGUUUCAUCUGUCAAACAACAACAUGACCAUGCAUUAAGUCUAUUUCUCUUUUUUAAUCAAAAUCUUUGCAGUUACACUGAUUACAAUGGGACGUACUUAACCCUGGGCACCGUCUGCUGCGGACAGAAAUGUUCAGUGUUGCUUUAUCAAUACUGCUCAGAAAAAUUCUCAGUAAAUGCACCGAGGAACUUUAAAAGACCAUUUUACCUGUAAGAGUGAACAAAACAACCCCCAAAGCCCACCCGGAUUCACAGAGCACAACCUGCCCCGGCGCAGGGAGGGAACCAACGCUGCCUAUGGAACAUUCUCCCUCUGGGUGCCUGGCCUACAGGGAAGUUUUUAUCAAACCAAUUCUCCGCAGACUGAGAUAAAAUUUUAAAAAGAAAGCACCCGCGUGAAAAAAAACCUCCACGUGUUUACUCUGUAACAAGUGACUAUUAUAUAAGAGCCAUCGUGCCAUGUUAGUACAGGUACGGACACAUAAAUACAUUUAGUUACAAGGAGCUAUCGAGCUACCGCUUAUCAGCACAUCUCUGGUUGCCGUGCGGAGUGACGCACUGAGCCUGCUGCAAUGAGAAGGUUCAAUGUGUCAGUCUUAACCUUAGCAAAGAUGUAAACCUCAAUAUUUUAUUUUGCAGUAACGGUUGGCGAUUUUGGUCCAGCCAACAAGUGGUGAAUGGCUAAACCACUACUGAGACAUUAAUCCAUUUGCCUGUUCCCUUUAGCACUCAAAGCCUUUACCCAGGACAAGCCCUACCUGGACACACAUCUUUGUGUAGUUGAAACCUUCUUCUAACCAGCAUUCUGAGAUUAACUAAAAUAAAUUCCUCUUAAACCAAAGAAAAUGCCCAACAGCAGGGAGAUGCUGUUAUUUUUCAAACUGUAUUAAAUGAGUGGCUGUAUUUAUCCUCAGCAAGGCCAGAGCACCAUUUUUAUUGUAUGUCAGCUAUGCCAUAACUACCCAUUUAUAUAAGUUUCUGCUAAAACACUGUGCAGGUCCUUCUGAGAUUAUACCCCUGGAUGCACCAUAAAUUCGCCAACUUAUUUGUGCUGCUACACCUUAAACCUGUAGAUAUUUUCAAACACCUGACACUCGGUAAAAAAAUACAUGUUUUCAUGUACAGGGUAAUGGGUCACCUGACAAGUUUGUUGGCACAAACAAGUUGCAAUUUAAUAAUAGCUGGUAAUAAUAAUAAUAAGAAUAAUAAAUUACUCUUGGUACUUUUCCCUACUGUUCAUGUGACCCAGGGUGCGAGCUAACAGGUCUGAAGCCGUAUUAGUUGGGCUCAUUCUUCAUCAGAGCUUCGGAGCUUCAUUUACUCUCAACAUGCAAGAUGUGAGAUUUGGGGUUUUUUACUCUAAAAGCAUAUAAAAUACCAUUAAAAUCUCAGUAAGGACAAAUCCGUAUGUUUACUACAGCACAGUCGGACGUGGUCCAACACCAGUCAUGUUGAGUAACUACUACUUUGCCACACAAGCUGCCCAUAAGAUGCCACCAACAGGAGCGUACGAUGAGCCAAACAACUCCGAGUAGGGCUCAACAUUGGGCAGUGAUUCUCCUCGAGACCAAUCCCAACUCAUUUCUCUCCUUCCAGGCUCUGAACUGCGCUCGGUUCAGCUCCAGGUUGGAUCCCAUUGUGAACCAGACAAGGGGACGGGUCCUGCUAUGGGGUGACCCCAAGACCAAAAAAAGGCAAAGCAGUUCUGGCUGCAUGGACUCCCUGCCCCGAUGCACACGUCUCCAGAAACUGUUUAAGCCAAAAUUCUGCCAAGAAAAUGUACAUGGGAAAAAUGAGAUCAGUCAUCUCUCCCAAGGCUUUUUUUUUUUGUAAGCAACAGAAGCAAUGGAUUUAAUGAUUAAGAUAAAAACUUAUGUCUGUACAUAUGUUGGACUGUUUUCUUCCAAACUCCAACUGAUUAACUCAAGGAUACAACUCUCAAGUUAAUCAAGACACAUUUAGUGCAACACGCCUUAGCUGUUUAUGAUAGGCCCUAUUUACAAUUUCUUACUUUUGGGGACUGUUACUUCGCAGCAACCAAGAGAAACUCCAAUGUAUAUACAUCACCACUUCCAAUAUAUCCCAGUCUAAAUUUCAGGUGCGAUACAUCCACAAAUAAGAGACACAGGCUUCACAACAGGAAUGUGAUUUGGUUGCAACAGCCAGGUCAGACGUUUGAUUUGGUACUUCAUUGAUUUUAAAGUGUACAAAGGCGAACGUGCUAAGAAGCACAAAAAUGCGUUUGGCUUUUUAUAAUCAUUUGUUUCUUCUUAACUUCUGUUGACCUGCUCUUUUCAAGGUCUUCAAUGGGUUUCUAAUAAUAUUACAAUAGAAUCCUAAUAACAACUUGAGAUUAAUCCCUAAGUAUUUAGCUACAAAAAGACAACAAGCAGAAAAGGAAACUCAAAUAUUUUGCCUUAGCCUGGUAAUUCUACCGAAAUGUAAAGGCAAUUUACCUUCUAGCAGCCUUUUAUGCUUCCAUGCUAAAAAUCAACAUGAACCACCCUUUUCUGUGAAUCCAGUUUCUGUGUAAAUUCCACUUUUCAUGCCAAAGCACAGAUGAAACAGAAUUAGUUUGGCUUCUUUUUUUCUUAUUUCAUUUGAAGGGGUUUGGAAGCUCUUAGUUUCUAAGCUGGACUAAGGCAGCGUCUGGAGAUAGAUUCCAUUUCUAAAAGUAAUAAAUAAAUAUCCUUUUUUUUAA